AUGGCCAUCGUGCCAGAAUCUCUGCGCCGCAUCGCAGGCCGUCACAGCCGGCGCUUUUGGUCGCUGAACCAGGACCCGCCGAAGCCUGCCCGUCAUACUGGCCCCCGGAGCCACAUCGCGGUUCGCACAUGUCACGUCAACGACGAGACCUCCCGUAGUACCUGCCGCAACGGUGCAACCUCGAUCGCCACGCCCUCCGUGGUAGCGUGCUCCGCAUUGGCCUUGCCGAGCUGGAAGCAGGACGGUGCCCGCGUGGCGAUGGCUGUGGUGGCGGUGAGCUGCACGAGCCAGUGGGCAUCGAGGAUGCCACACACGCCGCGUCACCCGGGGUGUUAUCUAGCGCCACUAUCACGGAUUCACGGUGUCCCUUUGUGGGGCUGAGCCAACGGCA
RNAcentral lists this long non-coding RNA (391 nucleotides) under Oryza sativa Indica Group (long-grained rice). RNAcentral describes it as "lncRNA OsMH63_04G007050". Lineage: Eukaryota; Viridiplantae; Streptophyta; Magnoliopsida; Poales; Poaceae. The record is from RNAcentral.